This is a long non-coding RNA of Felis catus (domestic cat), 11477 nucleotides long. RefSeq lists it as uncharacterized. The record is from RefSeq and is a predicted model, not a curated record. NCBI's taxonomy places the organism in Eukaryota, Metazoa, Chordata, Mammalia, Carnivora, Felidae. The transcript has 3 exons.
AACUUAACCUGUGAAAUGAAAGAUUUGUACACUGAAAACUGUGAAACACUGAUGAAAGAAAUUAAAAGACAUACAAAUAAAUGGAAAGACAUCCCAUGUUUCUGGGUUGGAAGACUUAGUAUUGGUAAAGUGUCCAUACUGCCCAAAGCAAUCUAGAUAUGAUUUUUUAAAGCUACCUUUAUGGCUGCUCAGCUAUGAAAGAGAAGGAAGGUAUUACUUGAGAAUUCCCAGAUUGUGACCACAGUUUUGUCUCAUAGUGUUAAUACAGCAACAUCUCUGUACUUGUUUCUGACUUGGACACUAUCCAACCUGAACCCUCUUCAUCUCUGGCUUCUCAUCUGGACUCUACGCCUUUUAUGGUGGCAGAGCUGGUCUUCAGAACUAGCUAGUCCAACACACCAGCCUGUGUAAGUUUCCAUUACAAUCUGUCCCCUUCUAUUAUCUCAUUCAAUCAUUACCCAACCCAGGUUUCUCUAACUUCCAACCCAAACUUUUUCUACCAUACCGUAGAAUCAUAAUUUCCCUCAUCAAUUAAAAACUACAACUAUGACUUUAGAAGAUUCAUUUCAGUAGUAUCAGGGCUCACAAUAUGCCUGACCCCUCUUGAAAUACACAAAUAAGCCACUGGCUUUUAGAUAUGGAUGAUUUACAGCCUGUGUAAUGUAAUGACCCACUUCAUGUGAGCAGCUCCUCUGGAGCCUUCUGAAUGGUCUUUUGGCCUUUAUGGUGAUCUAGUCAGCCCAAAUUCAACACACAAUUCCCCAACAACAUGUUUUUGUUGCUUCACAACAAGCCCUGUGCUACCUAUUCUGGAGGAUAUAGGGGUAAGAAAGAAAGUGUCCCCACUCUAAGAAUUUGUAAUAGGUAGCGUAUUCCAUUUUGGAGCAGCUAUGUCAGAAACACCUUCCUAAAAUUGAUUCAGAACUUCAGCUCACUGCAACUUCUACUCAUUGGCUCUUCCACAGUUUAAUACAUUCAUUAUGUGCCGGAGGGAGUAGGCUCAAGUGGGAGGGAAGUUUCCUCUCCCCCAUCCCUGCCAAUCCUCCGCAAGGACAGAGGAGUUACCAAUGAUGGGUCCUAAUCCAGACCAUACACUGUACCACAUUUGCAAGUGCACAGUGUCAUGUGCAUCAAAACAUUGUAUAAAUGCACAUGGGUCUUCUCUCCAUGCAGCUGUGUUGAAAGCUCAGCUAGAGGCCACUUAAUAUCCAGCUAUUAUAAUCUCCUCUCUUUUGUUCCCUGCGUGUGUAUGUGACAAACAUGUGAUCAGUUUGUUUUCAUGACCAGUACACCAAACCAAAGAGCUUGAGUUUUUAAGUUCCACUGGGGCUUGAAGAAAGAUAGAAAUCAUAAUGGGUUGUAUAAGUGAGGCUUUUGGUGUAAUCCAGGGAUACCAGAUUUUUUCCUUUGGGGUAAAACAUGCUAGUUCAAUCAAUUAUAAAGUAUUCAUUUUGUUUCUCACUUGCCAUUGUACCUUGUAAGUUUCCUCAGGAACUUCAUAGGGAAGGAGUUACUGAGAUGAAGCUAUGAUGUUGCUAUUUCCAGAAUUCUUGGCUACGAUGCUAUCAGAACCUUGUCGCAGUUUGCAAAAGAAAGAAUUUCUAAUAUUACAGCCAUUUAUCUACUGACUGAAUGUUAUCUUCAGCAUCUUCUGAAAGCAUUCAUGCAAGCUGUAUUUAUACACUUCCAGUGACAGGGACUUCUUUACCUUACACAGCCAGUCUUUUCACCUUUGCACACUUGUGAUGAAUAAGAAGUUCCUUUGUGGAUCGAGCCAAUUCUGAUCCCCAGUAAUUUCAAUCUCAUGGCCCUAUUUCUAUCCCUCAGAGAUAAAAUGGAAUGAACUUAACAAAGUCUAUUCCUUUUUAGUGUAACGGCACAUCAACUUGACUACAAUUCCCCCUAGUUAUGUCAAGGUCUGAUAACCCGCGGGAAGGAGAUAUUCCCAAGUGUUGGCUGUUUCUCUGUAAUUGACUUUUCUGCUCAGUGCUCAGCUCAGGCAAGCCACUGUUGAUCUGCCAAUCUGAGACCCCCUCUGUGUACACAACCCAAUGGAGUGCGACAUCCAGAGUACAGGUAAUGGGUAUGGAUGAAAGUCAUGGCUCCUGGAACAUCUCCAUUUCAUUUGUGAUGAAGCAGCCCAUUCUCAGAGCCCUACAGGAGACUUGGCUUUGCUACCCAAUGUUCCUAACAUCAGCUGAAUGUGAAGUUUGCAUGCAAAUAGCAUCCUUGUUUAGGUGCCAGAUGGUCAAGUGAUCCUUGGUAUACCUGGGGCAUCAGUAUAUACACAUAAAGACAGUGUUUAUACAUCAUAACAAGUAAAAAGCCUUUAUACAUCAUCCAAGAGUGAGAGAGAGAUUGUGGUAAACAUACAAGAAUAAGAGCUAUGGAACCAGACACACCCAAUUCAAACCUUGCUUUCUGUCUUUUAAAAGACUUGCUAUAUGUUGUGCCCUUAGGCCCAGCUACUCUAUCUCCCUGGACUUCAUUUUCCCCCUAUAUUUGCAAACCAGAGAAGCAAUAUCCUCCCCCACAGUGUUGUUAGUAGGAUAAAACGAGUGAAGGGUCUAAUAUAAUGCUUGACACUUAAAAUAUACUGCUUUGACACUCAAAAAUGUAAGUUCUUUUCCACAGUUAUUCAGUUUACAAGGGUUUUUUCCCCCUUUUAUUGUCUCAUAACACCUAGUACUUGUUUGAUCUAAUUUCAGGCUUUCAGGCAGGACCAUUGCACGUGUAAAUGCACUCUGUUCUAAGAAGAAAACCAGAACAUAGAGGAGAUUGUGCAGCUUUAUCCUUGGAAAGUUCUCCGUCCAUCCAGCUUGCACUUUCAUGCUUCCAUCUCUCCAUCUGCAAAAUGCUUGGGUUGAAUUAGAUGAUCUAGAAGGUCUUACACUCUCUUCUUACUCUCAUCCAUUGUUAUUAUAGCAGUUUGGAGCUAUUUUUGUUCUGUUCCUGAAGGAGAAGUGAGGGGAGAUGAGCAGUUCUUGGGCACCUGUUGGCUUGCAAGGCCUCUGUUAGAUACUCUGUUUAGUAUCGUGUUAGGCUCACUACGACCCCAUGAGGGAGUUACUAUUACUCUUUACUCACAGGUAGAUGGAGAAUGUCAUAGAGAUUAAUGACAUUGGCCAAAUUGCUCCUGGUUAGUAAGUGGCAGAGCUUCCUAAUCUAGAUGAGGACAUGGACGCUGGGAGUGGGAUGCUUGUCCUACUCCUCAGAGAUACCAGGGUCCCUUACCUAACUCAGUACUCUUAUCCCUACAAGAGAACAUCAUGGAACAGAGAAAGGGCGCAUAGUCCCAAGACUUAGGAAACCAAGCUUCUGGCUUUUACUCUACCUCCAAGUUUCAUCCUAAAUUAUUCUUUCUCAGAAGAACUGAAAAAUUACCUGCUAUAAUUACCUUCAUGGUCACCUUGAAAGGUGCAUGAGCAGGGUAAAGAGGAAUGAAAAGUGGUACAAGGAGCUGCAGGUAUGAGCUGUAAGGCUCCACUGCUCACUGUAUGGCCUUGGGAAGGUUGCUUGCACCUCUGAGCCUUAGGGUCUUCACAUGUCCAAUGAAAGUGUUGAACCAGUUUCUUAAACUGUGGUCCCCACACCAGCAGCAUCAGUCAGUAUCAUCUGGGAACUGCUUAGAAGUGCACAUCUCAGUCCCCACCCAAGACCUAGUGAAUCAGGUGCCCUGAUAGUGGAGCCCAAUAAUCUGUGUUUUAAUCAGCCCUCCAGGAGGUUCUGACCGUGAUAAAGCUGAAGAACUGGUGGGUGAGCUGGGUAUAAGGACUCUGCAUCUGGCAGAAAGCCCUAGAAAAAUGGCUGUGGCUGGAACUGAGGGAAGAAUCAAGUCACUUCCUCAAGGCAGGAGAAAUGAAUGAAUUUGCGUUCUGUGUGUAGCAUCCUGCCUCCAAGUUAAGCCUCUAACACACACUUGUUAUUUUAUCUUGCUUCAUAUUUCUUGACCUUUUUCACUGAUUUCUUUAUCUGCAAGGGCUGGGGGAGAGCAAAGAUAUUUGCCUCCUAAAUUUCCUGGGAAUUGAAGCUGCAUGAGCAGCUUGUGGGAAGUGCCUGGCACAUAGCAGCCUCUUGAUAAGUAGUCGCCCAAACUCUCUGGGUCUCCACCCUUAGGGUAAAAGGUAAACAAUUUUGAAAGGAAACUCUUCCCUUAUCUGGGUGACAUGGGAUUUUUCUGAGCCAACCCGAGCAGGUCACCAAAGGAAACCUAGUGCAUCAGAGGUGCCACGACCCACAGAUUCUAAGUAUGCCUCCAGCCUAGAACUUGUGAGUUUGUCUCUCGAGGAAGCUCUGUGUCUUCAUAGUUGACUGCAACUCCUUCAGGACAUGUGAACAGCAAGGGCAUGUUUUUUUAACUAGCAGGAACCUACUUAUGCUUUAUGCAAAUUAAAAGCAGAAAGUAUCCUGAUAUAGGACACGGACCAUGAUCCGGGACUGGAAGGUGGUAAAGUCUUGGUGGGGACUGUUGGUAACAGAGACUGUAUUACCACUCUGGCUUUGUGGGUCUCAUUUCUCUCCAUUCUCCAGUUCACAUGAUGGGAAAUAGCCACCCACACCUCUGGGGUUUUCUGGCCACGUGACUCUGUGCCCUCUGCCCUUCUCUUUUGCAGUCUACCUCUCUUAAGUCCAAAUCCCCGGAGAAGAGAAUUUGGCUCACAGGCUUGGUCCAGUCGUCUGUGGCCAGAGACACUGGAUCACCUUAUACUCUUAGUUACUGGGAACCACACCCCUGGGGUGAGAAGGAGUUUUGAGAAGCUGUUAGGAACCGGGCAGACUGUUAGAGAUCUUCAUUUUGACAAAGAUGGGAGAGAAAUCUUUUGACUCCUCCUCAAGAACCAGGGCUGCCGAUUGCUGUCAGGUGCAGGGUAUGAUCAAGACCCUGCCAUUUUGUGUUCACAGUAAAGGUUACAAUUUAUAAUGCUAGCUCUCCUUUUAAAUUUUGCUGCCAAGAAAGGUUGACUCGACAGACAUGGGAUAUGGAAAGAGAAUUUUUUAUUCUGCAAAUACACCAAAGUUCAGCGUCAGUAGGGCAAUACGACAAAACAUAAAUUACUGUUAUCUUUAGUGCAUGUUAUGCUUAUAGCAGCUUAUUGAAUCUCUAUGUAAGGAAGUUCUGCUUUGAUGAAACAUUUUUAUUUUUUUUAGUUUUUCAAGAGGUGACUGAAUACAACAAAAUUAUACUUACUUAAGGCACAAAAUGGGUGUCAUGUUGUGGAAAUUCUCUGUGAUAAGAGUCUUUUCUCAUCCAGCCAAAACUUAACUGUGAUGUGGGCUGCGAUUCCCUCAAAUGAAAAAUGACAAAAGUCAGACCUAGUGAUGGCCAAUGCCCUUCUCGCUGCCGAUGACAUCUAGGCCUUCUGUGAUGCCCUGUUGAUAGAGAUUUUGUGACUUGGCAGUUCUCCUCAGGAUGCUGGCUCCAUCGGGGUCCCGGCAGGAAGACGAGUGGCACAUUCAGAGGGUUUGCUGGAAAAAGUUUAAUGAGGGGAUUGUUUACAGAGAUUUGGGUGAAGCAGCCGGAGUGGCAAAAGUAGGUGGCUACUGUCCUGUAACCUCAGGAGAGAAAGCCACCUGAGGCCGGCAGAGAGGGAGUGAGGAAGAAAUGCCUGCAUGCCUCUCUCCUGCACCCUCAGACUCUAGCUGGCACCUCCCACUGAGUCCAGUGAGAAGCCAGCAUAGAAGGUCGCCCAGGGAUACCGUCUCCCUGCUGCAGAGCAGGGCACAUUCCAGAUCUGGGGGAACAAACGGAAGCUGAAGACAACAGGAGGGUGUGGUGGAUGUCUCUCCAACUCUUGUGCUGCCAGCUGGGGACAAACACCCUGUCCUGUCUAACAGAGAAUCCACACUGCUUCUGUGGCCUUGGGGUGUUGCUGUCUGUGGCCUGACCCCUGCUGGAUAGACUUGAAGCACAGGGGCUGUGCUGGAGAGCUACUGAUUGUAGACAUCCAGUUCCUAGAGGAAAAGGGGGCAGACCCCCACAGCAUCCCCUCCCCUCAGGAGGUAAUGGGGCCAGGGAUGGGCUUCUUCAGGCUUCUCAAGCCCUUUCUGUUCCAAGCUACCCCAUCGGCAGCUGCCAUCCUGAACAUGGCCUUGGGACCAGUGCUGACCAGCGCUCCCUUCAAAAUCCUGCAAUGGUUCACCAGUGCCCGUUAAAAAACUUUCUUCCAGUACUUGUGCCCAAGUUUCCUGCAGGUACAGGUGUUUCCUGUCAUAGGAAAACUUCUCUUGGACUGUUUCUUUCCUUCCCCUGAGGUGUGCUUUCUCUCCAUCUCCCUGGGAAAACACGACCUAAUGUGGAAGUGAGCUCUCCUUCCUUUGACAAACAACUUCCCUUCGUACCUCUCUUAGUGCACCUGUGACAUGUUAACCGGGCCUUGUUUAAGUUCUCUUCCUGUUUCAUCACUGCUUCAUCACUGCUUCUUAUUUUUUUUUAAUUUUUUUAAUGUUUAUUUCUUUUCGAGAGAGAGAGAGAGAGAGAGAGAGAGAGAGAGAGAGAGUCCAAAGCAGGCUCCACACUGACAGCACAGAGCCCAAUGCAGGGAUCGAACUCAUGAACCGUGUGAUCACGACCUUAGCCAAAGUUGGAAGCUUAACCGACUGAGCCACCCAGGCGCACCUCAUCACUGCUAUUUUAGCAGACCUCUUUCCUGUUUGUUCCCACAAGUCCAAGUCUACUCCAAGGUCAUCUCCUGCUGUACUCAUCACUGCAAGGAACUAUACUCCCCAAGAUCUUUUGCUCUUUGGCUUUCAAGUGGUUUCAGCCGAUGGGUGGGCCUUGGCAGAAGACUGGACAGGAGAGAAGCUGGGCUUCUGGAAACAUCUCCCACUUUAGCACCAUCUCUUCUGGGAUCCAGCUCCUGGAGGGCAGUUCCCACUGCGGUUCCCACUACAACAAAUCUCCUGGAGGGUCUUCAUGCCUAGACUCUGGUAGCACCGUCAUUUCCCCAUGACCCUAAAGUCCUAAGAUUUAGGCAGCAGCUUCUUACUGCUGGAACCCUGUAUGAUCUGUCAGUUCCCUCAUCAUCUGUGUAACUGAUCCUGUGUGUUAAAUUUCCUCUGCUUGAAAUAGUUAAGAUAAUUUUCGUGCUCCUCACCGGCCCAGAUGCAUCAUCUCACCCCCACGUGGAGAAGACAGCGUGAGAUUGGGGAAAGUGUUUUCAUCUUCAUCACAAAAGAUACCCAGGAUCAGAUUCCAGGUCUGCUUUUUUGACUCCAGGGCCUUCAGACAAGGUGCGCAGCCUCUAGCCAAAGCCAAUUGGCUGUUUUCCUAGACUCCUUGGGAAGAUUUUCAGUGAAUUCACAUUCACAUUUAGAUGAAAAUGGUAUGAAAAUAACCUGGCACAUGGUCCAUACUCAGUAACCUAGAGUCAUAUUCUUCAAUAUCAACAAGAAACAGACUCACCUCUUUUCCUGGUCCCAGUUGUGGGCUUUGGGACUUUAGCCAUUUGUGAGUAAAUGCUACAGCCUUUGUAGGAAUGAAACGGUCAGAGUGCCAUGAGGAAAGUCAAAGAAGGCAAAGAAGAGAAAACUAUCCACUGAAUGGCUGUCCCCAUUCAGGAAUUGUGCUAGGACCCCCAAGUGUACCUCCCGGUUUGACUUUCCCUGCAGGAGAAGAAACAGUGGGAAAGAGGAAGACAAAACCAGGAACUUGUCAUUAUCAACACUGCCUGCCCUCCAUUGGCCAGGACAUGGUCCUCACAUGGAAAGGACAUCUGUCCUUUCCACAGAAGGAAACCAGGCCUCUGGGAGGUAUGGUAACUUGACUUGACUAAAGACACACAACUAGUGCAGUGGUUAGAUUCCAGAACUUUCCAUGCCUGGCAUCCACAGUUGCCAUCAGGAUGGAAGAUAGAAGGAAAGUUGCAAGCUUCCCUGAAAAGAAAGAAGACACACAGAGGCCACAUUAGGUCUCAAGACAGGAAAUUCACUUCUUGUGAAGCUUGCAAAGCAAACCCAAGAGGAGCUUUAAGAAGUAGACAAUUAUGUGGCAGAUUCAUGACUUCACUCUUCAAGGAAAAUACUUCUGGAUCCAGCAAGGAAGACAGUCAUGGGCCAUUGGUUUCUAAAAUUGCUACUUCUUCUCCAAAAGCCCUCAGAUGAAGAAGCUGCCCACAGUCGACCCCUCUCACAAGGCUUGACUGAAAACCUGGCCCUGUGUCAUCCAGUGAGUCAGUGGAUUGCUGUUUGAUGUCAAUGCUGGUCCAGCAGUGGGUUUUCCAGAAUGCAGAGGUGGAAGGCAAAGCAGUCUCCUUCCCUCAUGGAGCGCAGGUCAGUAGUCUGGCAUGCUGCCACAGGCUGUUCUUCAGAGACAACCACACUUGAACUGCAGGUACCAGGUGCAAGUGCUGAUCCUUGUGUGGGCUGUAGCUGGUUAGUUCAGACUUACUGGUGCUGAGGGACACUGUAAUGGGGGUGUAUGCAGACCUAGAAACCAGAUGGUCUGUGUUCUAAUGCAGGCAUGUCCUAUGAAUGUUUGGGCAAUUUAUUUGACCUGGUCUGUCCUCCAGCCCCAUCCAUAUCUGAAAAGUGGGAGUCCUGAUAGUAACUCAUAGGGUAGCAGGGAAGAUUAAAUGUUUGGAUACACGCAAAGCACGGAGAACAGUGCUCAGCAUAUACAAAGUACACCGUAGUUGUGAGUUACAUAAAUAGGAGUCCUAGAUCUAUCGCUGCUGACCUGUGUGACCAUGGGCAUUCAGUCUCCAACUUUGGCUUCUGUAUAUGUAAAAUGAAGCAGAUGGAAAUAUAACCAUAUCUGAGUCAGGAGAUCUGGUUUCUGGUCCCGAUCUGCCCUAAUUAGCUCUGGAUAUUGGCAAGCAAUUCUAUUUCAUAGAACUUCAGUAUCCUCACCUAUAAAACAAGAGAGCAGGAUUAAAUCAUCUCUAAAAUUCUAUUAGUCAAAAGAUAGAUGUUUCUAUUAUCUUAGUAUAUUGCUAUGUACUGGUCAAUAUCAGUGAUCCUUUAAAUCCAUAAUGCAGUUUUUACUGUUGAUAUAUAAUUAUGAUUAUUUCUUGGGGUUGAAUCAGUUGGGAAAAUAAAGUCUCAUAUUCUAUGUGCAACAACCCUAUGAGAGAAUAAUAUUGAUGGGAACCACUAACGCUGCUUUAGUGCUUACCAUGUGCCAAGUUCUGUGUGAAAUAAAUGCUCUACUUCAUUUAAUCUCACAGUAGCCUUCUGAGUUAGGGAUUACUAUCCUUACUUAUUCCCACUGCUCAGAUAAGGACACCGAGGCUCACAAGUUUAAGUAACAUGCUCAGUGCUACACAAAUGGCAGACGGUGGAGCUGGGAUUCAAGGAUGGCCCUAUGUGACCCAUAAGUACAUGACUGUUCUGCAGACAGUUAUUAAUGAACCUGCCUCACAGAGAAGACUCUCGGACUCAUUCAGCAAAUAAUGUGCCCAAGUUCACUUAUAAGUUAGAGGCACGGCUGAGACCAGGCUUUCUCUCGCCUCAUCUGCAGCCUCCCAAACCCGCUUGCUUGUGAAUCAAUGAAUACAAAUGAGGGCUGAUUUGUAUUCAUUUCCAGCUAACCAGCAGAUUUACACUCUCUCUGUUGCACACCUCCAAGAAACACAUCCUCAUGCAUAUACCAUCAGGGUUUCAGGGACCUGUUCUCUCUCUCCCCAAUUCACUCCCUGGUCCUGGGAAACUAAGAUCAUAGCCCUGUCUGUGAGCAUAUCAGAACCAGACUCCAGCAAUAGCCACAGUCAACACCAGUAGAACAGUGGUAAAUGCUAUUGCUUUACUUGGAAGGGAAACCAGAGACGGAGGUCCCUAAGUGUGGAUGACACAACCACUCAAGGUAGAACAUACCAUGAUCAAUCUCCACCGGGAGCAGUUGUGUGAAUUUGAAGGUAGGUAUGUUAGCUGACUUAAAACACUGCACCAUGUCAGAGGACACCCAUUCUUAAAUUCUUGAGUGGUGGAAAUUGAGCCAGUGGACAGAUGACAGAGGGAUCCCAUGAGGCUGCACCUGCCUGUCGAUAGCCACUGCAAUAUCUGUUCUACCUGGGCCAGUAAGGUUAACUUUGACUUAAACAAAGAGAAAUCCCCACACACGAAGAAUUAAAUAAUGAAGACAUCGGAAGCUAUGGGUGGGAGGGGUUCAGGCAUGGAGCUGUUAGGAGCUCAACAAUACUGAUACCCAGGUCCUUUCAUCUAUAUUCUGCUGCCAGUAUCAAUAGCUUUGCCUGAGGUCUGACCUCUUAUUGUUAUUGUCACAAAGUGGUAGCUGGUGGCAAUCAGGACUAUACACUUUCGUAUUCAUCUCCAUGAAGGAAAGAGAAACCCCUCUUUCCAAAACACAGAAUAUGAUCUUUCCAUCUUUCCUUUCUAUUUGAUUGGUUCAAGUUAGGUUAUGGCCUAACCCCAGGCCAAUAGCAGUCACCAGGGAGAGUUCAUGCACUGAUUAUAUUAGGCUAAUCAGAGGUUAACCAUAGAAUUUAUGCCAGGAUAGAGUGGCUUCCUCUGAGUCACAUGGAUUGCAUGGCCAAUGAGUAGACACAUGAAUAAAAUGUGGUUCCUAUUGGAAAGGUGGAAGGAUUGCAGGGUAGUUGACAGUGUUCAUUACAGUUCCCUUCCUACAACAUAACAGUAUUGGAACCCUUGACUUAUGCUCAAUCACCAUGUUUCAUUAUCCCGGACCCAUGAGUUAAUUAGGUUCUAAUCCUGUCUCCUCAGUAAGUCUCAUGACUUCUGCUUGAUUGGCUGGAAUAGAAGCUUUCUCUCUUCCUCUCUGUAAUGGUAGUUUGUGGCUAGAAGGCUCUAGAUAUGCUGUUGCCAUUUUUUCCCACCACAAGGCAAAAGCAACCCAAGGAAGAUGUCAGGACACAGAGGAUUCCUGAAAAAUGGUACAGAACUCUGAGGACACCAUGGGCCUCUGACUCAAACUGUACCUAGAACUCACCUGAGCACUGAACCUCUCAAUCAUGGAGUCAACCAAUUCUAUUUUUAAAUCCAACCUCAGUUUUGCUUUCUGCUUCUUACAACAUGAAGAAUCCUUAUUGACACAGCAGAAUCGAUUUCAAUUCAAUGAAAAUGUUUCUAAUCAUCAGAGCUGCUUCCAAAAUAAAGCAGGCCACCUCCUGUUCUCCUCUGUCUUCCAUCGCUGGAGGUGUUCAUGCAGAGACUGGCCAACCAUCUGUCCAGGAUGCUAUAAAAAGGAUUUCUACAUUGGUGGGAAGCUGAAAAACCACCUUCUAAGAACCCUUCCAAUUCCAAUAUGCUAAUACCCCUAUUAAGCCAAGAAGAAUGUGGAAGGUAUGCAGAAACAUGCAUAGGAGAAUAUAAAUCAAAGUUACUUGGAUGAGAGUCUUUCUCUCUGAAGUAAGACUAGAGAAGAAGCAUGAUUCAGUCAUUUGUUCUUUGAUUCAGUCAUUUGUUCUUUGAUUCACUUUUAUUCAACAGAUGUAUAUUGAUCUCCAAAUAUGUGCUAAGCACUAAAGAUUGAGAAAUAAAUAAAAACUAAGAGCCUGUUUUCA